CUACGGGCGGCAGCAGUUACGAAAACUUUACAAUGCGCGAAAGCGUGAUAAGGGAAUUCCUAGUGCUCAUACUUUGUAUGGGCUUUUGUCAAGUGUAAAAAGCUUGGCGAAUAAGUGAUGGGUAAGACCGGUGCCAGCCGCCGCGGUAACACCGGCGUCACAAGUGGCAAUCAUGAUUAUUGGGCCUAAAGCGUCCGUAGCCGGUUUAGUAAAUUUCUUGUGAAAUUGUUUGGCUCAACCAAACAGCGUGCAAGAAACACUGCUAGACUUGGAAUCGGGAGGAGCUAGGGGUAUUCCAGGGGGAGCGGUAAAAUGCUAUAAUCCUUGGAGGACCACCUAUGGCGAAGGCUUCUAGCUAGAACGAAUUCGACGGUGAGGGACGAAAGCCAGGGGAGCGAUCCGGAUUAGAUACCCUAGUAGUC
RNAcentral lists this ribosomal RNA (422 nucleotides) under uncultured archaeon. RNAcentral describes it as "partial 16S ribosomal RNA". It matches the Rfam family "Archaeal small subunit ribosomal RNA", at positions 323 to 746 of the family's 1478-position model. The record is from RNAcentral.